GUGAGGAGGGCUUCUAACUGUGUCACGUACUUUACAUCAGGAAAAUCAGCUGACAAGGACCCAAAAUGUGCUCCUUGUGGACCCUUCUUUUAAAGUGCAGGGAUGGAAUGAGAGAAGCAGAGAUCAUCAGGACCUGCUUGAGGCAAACCAAUCUGUAUCUUCAAGACUGUUCUCAUGUGUUUCUUCAUGUGGCUCACACCGCCUUGAAAUGAUGGACACAGACUUCUUCAACUCCUCAAAUCACCAUUAAUUAAAUUAUUUAUUAAGCCCUCCUGGAGAAAUCUGGGCCAGUUCAUGCCCUGUGGCAUCGCUCAGGAAGGUUUGUUUCCACGGGAGGGUUUUCAGAGAGUGAGGUGUGUUUGUAAAGCCAGGGCUUUGUAUUUCUUCCCAUCUCAACCUCAGCUUGUGUUAUGUUAAAAUCUGUCUUUAAAAGCACAGCUAUUACUCUACUUAUGUCAACAUAACUUGUGAAACUUUCUUGUUGUGGAGCAAAACUACAGGUCUUAGGAUUGCUUGGUGAGCCCCAGGUGAACUUCAAUUUGCUGGCCACUGACAAGUGCAGCUUUUCUGACCUAGUGCCCCAACCUCCAGAUGAAACUCAUGGAUGGAAACAAGAAU
Molecule: long non-coding RNA, 618 nt
Organism: Myiozetetes cayanensis
Lineage: Eukaryota; Metazoa; Chordata; Aves; Passeriformes; Tyrannidae
Exons: 3
Source: RefSeq, a predicted model, not a curated record